Molecule: microRNA precursor, 99 nt
Filed under: Camelus bactrianus (Bactrian camel)
Lineage: Eukaryota; Metazoa; Chordata; Mammalia; Artiodactyla; Camelidae
Also listed under: 2 other names
Description: mir-544 microRNA precursor family
Rfam family: mir-544 microRNA precursor family
Source: Rfam by way of RNAcentral
AUCACUUGGGAAUCUUGUUAAGAAUGCGGAUUCUGAUUCAGUAGGUCUGAGAUGGGACUUGAGAUUCUACAUUUUUAACAAGGUCCCAGGUGAUGCUGC